UACGGUGUGGUCUAGUGGCUAGGAUACCUGGCUUUCACCCAGGAGGCCCGGGUUCGAUUUCCGGUACCGGAA
RNAcentral lists this transfer RNA (72 nucleotides) under Schistocerca americana (American grasshopper). RNAcentral describes it as "tRNA-Glu". It matches the Rfam family "tRNA". From Rfam's summary of the family: Transfer RNA (tRNA) molecules are approximately 80 nucleotides in length. Their secondary structure includes four short double-helical elements and three loops (D, anti-codon, and T loops). Lineage: Eukaryota; Metazoa; Arthropoda; Insecta; Orthoptera; Acrididae. The record is from RNAcentral.